RNAcentral lists this unclassified non-coding RNA (358 nucleotides) under uncultured fungus. RNAcentral describes it as "partial contains 5.8S ribosomal RNA and internal transcribed spacer 2". The stretch from base 1 to 134 matches the Rfam family "5.8S ribosomal RNA", at positions 22 to 154 of the family's 154-position model. The record is from RNAcentral. Lineage: Eukaryota; Fungi.
UGGCUCUCGCAUCGAUGAAGAACGCAGCGAAAUGCGAUAAGUAAUGUGAAUUGCAGAUUUUCAGUGAAUCAUCGAAUCUUUGAACGCACCUUGCGCUCCUUGGUAUUCCGAGGAGCAUGCCUGUUUGAGUGUCAUUAAAUCAUCAACCCCACCGAUUUGUUUCGUCUUGGGGCUUGGACUUGGAGUGUGCUGGCGAAGGUCGGCUCCUCUUUAAAUGCAUCAGUGGAAGAAUGCACCUUUUUUUCCCCUUUGGCGUGAUAAUCCUGUUGCGCCGUGUGUGGGUUGAAGGUGUUCCGCUUAUAAUCGUCCUCGGACAAUAUAUACUUUUGACCUCAAAUCAGGUAGGACUACCCGCUGA